This 736-nucleotide long non-coding RNA is filed under the name Equus caballus (horse). RNAcentral describes it as "lncRNA (ENSECAG00000039845.3)". Lineage: Eukaryota; Metazoa; Chordata; Mammalia; Perissodactyla; Equidae. The record is from RNAcentral.
GGUCUCCCUCUCGGGGAAAGGGGAACUGAAUAAUGAUUUGAAAACUUGCUCAGCAGCAUCAAGCCCGCUUGACUGGGUUAGAAAGAAAAAACCAAAACAAAACAAGCGUGUUUGCACCUCCGCCUCGGGGCCGCAGGAACCUGGACUCAGGGACUAUUUAGACAACACUGAGUUGGAGAAUGGAUUGUGGCUAGCUGGACACUGGGCCCUCCGCUGGCACUGUGGUCACUGCUGGCCCCAGUGCCACCAAUGCCACAGGACACUGGAUGCCAUAGCCACCAACUCCACCAGAAGGAGUUCCGAUUAUGUUGUUCAGUCUGGAUUUAGAAGUCUCAGCUAGGAAUAGUGGCAGAAGUAAUUGAGAAGCAAGAAGUAUGAGGAUGGACGGGGAGGGAGCAAACCACUUACCCGGUCAUGGACGAUUUGCCAGGAGCUGGGCCUUUAAUCAUCAGUUUUCUAUUAAUUCCUGGAACCAGACCCUCCCUGGCACAAUGGAUGAAGGGGAGAUGGGAGACUAGAAAACAGAAAUUGCUCAAAAAGGAAUUGAGCCCUUUGGAUGGGAAACAGGAACUCCGGUGGAAUGCAGGAGGAAGGAUUGAGCAAGAGAGAAGCAGCUGCCAACCUAUCCGAAUGAAAACAAACACCUUGAACACGACAGUGGACUUGAAAUGUUACUAAACUUUUUGGCAGGUUUCUCCCCACUAACAAGCCCGACGCAGGAAUACAAGAAAAGAAU